This 494-nucleotide ribosomal RNA is filed under the name uncultured bacterium. RNAcentral describes it as "partial 16S ribosomal RNA". It matches the Rfam family "Bacterial small subunit ribosomal RNA", at positions 28 to 507 of the family's 1533-position model. The record is from RNAcentral.
GAUGAACGCUGGCGGCGUGCCUAAUACAUGCAAGUAGAACGCUGAAGGAGGAGCUUGCUCUUCUGGAUGAGUUGCGAACGGGUGAGUAACGCGUAGGUAACCUGCCUGGUAGCGGGGGAUAACUAUUGAAACGAUAGCUAAUACCGCAUGACAACAGUUAUUGCAUGAUAACUGUUUAAAAGGGGCAACUGCUCCACUACCAGAUGGACCUGCGUUGUAUUAGCUAGUUGGUGAGGUAACGGCUCACCAAGGCGACGAUACAUAGCCGACCUGAGAGGGUGAUCGGCCACACUGGGACUGAGACACGGCCCAGACUCCUACGGGAGGCAGCAGUAGGGAAUCUUCGGCAAUGGACGGAAGUCUGACCGAGCAACGCCGCGUGAGUGAAGAAGGUUUUCGGAUCGUAAAGCUCUGUUGUAAGAGAAGAACGAGUGUGAGAGUGGAAAGUUCACACUGUGACGGUAUCUUACCAGAAAGGGACGGCUAACUACGUG